AUGCUAUGGGAGAGCAUUACAUUACAAAAUGAGAGUCAUGUUGACACUUUGCAGUUUGGGGCUUGGAGCAUCUGCUUUGCAGAGUGCUGUUCAUUUGUUGCCUCACCUUUUUGCAGAAGGAACAUCGACAGUCACUGUACCAGGGCCUCCAGGACCACCUGGAGCCCUGGGACCCCCAGGACCACCCGGCCUUCCAGGACCUGCUGGCCCAGCUGGUCUCCCAGGACAGCAAGGUCCCCGAGGAGAGAGAGGCAUCCCAGGGGAAUCGAUCAUUGGAAGCAGCUCUUCUUCAGGGGCUGCUUCUGCUCCUCACACUGCUCAAUUGCAAGGCCCCCCUGGACCACCAGGACCACCAGGACCACCAGGAGCCUCCAUCACAGGCCCUCCAGGACCCCGAGGUCCAGCAGGUAA
This 411-nucleotide long non-coding RNA is filed under the name Vombatus ursinus (common wombat). Its description in RNAcentral is "lncRNA (ENSVURG00010000362.1)". Lineage: Eukaryota; Metazoa; Chordata; Mammalia; Diprotodontia; Vombatidae. The record is from RNAcentral.